Molecule: non-coding RNA, 237 nt
Organism: Charadrius vociferus (killdeer)
Lineage: Eukaryota; Metazoa; Chordata; Aves; Charadriiformes; Charadriidae
Source: the annotation of a RefSeq genome assembly
AUGUACAGUUCCAAUGCCUCCUAUCUUUACGUGGCCUGGUAUUGGCAGCGUCCUGGUGGACCCCUGCAGUACUUGUUGCAGAGCAAGGGCCAGGGAGGCUCCUACAGCCACACAGCCCCUGUUGCGCAGAAGAGGUUUUCCUGGCGGGCUGACAGGAGCUUUGGGACCCUGAUGAUGAGUGGGCUGGAGCUGGGGGACAGUGCGCUCUAUUACUGCACCCUGCAGGGAGCACAGUGA